AGGAGCAAACAGGAAAUGAGGCAAUACCAAGCCACAUGACAAACUUCUACUGAACUGUGUCCUGGAGGGGUGAUGCAGCCACAAUAACAAGAUUCCUCCUGCUCCAGUCAUUAAGAACAUUGCAUUUCUCAUGUCACAGAGCUGGGGGAGGGGACCGAGAGCAGCCGAGGAAGCAAAUCCCGCUGAGGAUACUGUUUCAAUAUGAAAGAGACCAUUAACCCAGUGUAUUUACCUACAGAACUCAUCCAGGGUCCUAACCAAAAGACAUACUUUUAAUCUUAUCAUAAUAUCGCUCAUCUUUCUCAACAUUUGCCUUCCAAAAAAGCUGUUACUGAUAAGCAAACUUAAUCUUGCUCCCUUCUUUAAACCUCUUCAAAACUUUGCAGUGCUAAAGGCACAAUGCUGAUCUUGUGUAGUGUCUGGAACGUCUUCUUCUCAAAUGAUCUUGCCUGUAUAGAGCAGCUAAUUGAACACAUCUGUUGAAUGUAAUUUGAAUGCUGCAUGUUUGUUCUAUAUGUAUUAUCUUCUAUAUUACUUGGACAUAAUGGGUCUAAUUUUUUUUUAAUGAUGAUAUUAUUUGUGAAGGUGAUUUUCUACUGUCAGCCAAGUUCAGUGAGUGGUCAAACACUGUUUGCAUUUUUUUUAGUAAAAUUUUGUUAUUGAUUGUGUAUGUA
Passer domesticus (house sparrow) is the source of this 674-nucleotide long non-coding RNA. RefSeq lists it as uncharacterized. The record is from RefSeq and is a predicted model, not a curated record. NCBI's taxonomy places the organism in Eukaryota, Metazoa, Chordata, Aves, Passeriformes, Passeridae. The transcript is spliced from 2 exons.